RNAcentral lists this transfer RNA (77 nucleotides) under Candidatus Aminicenantota bacterium. RNAcentral's name for it is "Candidatus Aminicenantes bacterium tRNA-Arg". The stretch from base 3 to 71 matches the Rfam family "tRNA". Rfam says of the family: Transfer RNA (tRNA) molecules are approximately 80 nucleotides in length. The record is from RNAcentral. Lineage: Bacteria; Candidatus Aminicenantota.
CGGCCCGAAGCUCAGCUGGAUAGAGCGUCUGACUACGAAUCAGAAGGUCGGGAGUUCGAAUCUCUCCGGGCGUACCA